GCAAUACUCCCUCUGUCCGGAAAUACUUGUCCUCGAAAUGGUUGUAUCUAGACUUAUUUUAGUUAUAGAUACAUUCAUUUUAUCAAUUUUUAGGACAAGUAUUUCCGGGCGGAUGGAGUACUUA
Non-coding RNA from Triticum aestivum (bread wheat), 124 nucleotides. Lineage: Eukaryota; Viridiplantae; Streptophyta; Magnoliopsida; Poales; Poaceae. The record is from Rfam.